CAAUUUUAUUUAACUUUUCAAAAAUCCACCUUUUUGUUUCAUUUAUUUUUUUGUAUUUUUGUUGUUGUUUGUUUAGUUGGUUGUUUCAAUUUCAUUUAGUUCUCUUCCGAUCUUGAUUAUCGAAUUAAGAAGAAAUCAAGGUAUCUUCAAAUAUUGGCAAAUUAAAUAGCACAUGUCUAGACAAUGGCUCGAAGAACAAAUUACCAGGAAAAU
Molecule: long non-coding RNA, 213 nt
Filed under: Callithrix jacchus (white-tufted-ear marmoset)
Lineage: Eukaryota; Metazoa; Chordata; Mammalia; Primates; Cebidae
Description: lncRNA (ENSCJAG00000074479.1)
Source: RNAcentral